RNAcentral lists this ribosomal RNA (468 nucleotides) under uncultured bacterium. RNAcentral describes it as "partial 16S ribosomal RNA". It matches the Rfam family "Bacterial small subunit ribosomal RNA", at positions 28 to 507 of the family's 1533-position model. The record is from RNAcentral.
GACGAACGCUGGCGGCGUGCUUAACACAUGCAAGUCGAACGGAAAGGCCCUGCUUUUGUGGGGUGCUCGAGUGGCGAACGGGUGAGUAACACGUGAGUAACCUGCCCAUGACUUUGGGAUAACUUCAGGAAACUGGGGCUAAUACCGGAUAGGAGCUCCUGCUGCAUGGUGGGGGUUGGAAAGUUUCGGCGGUUGGGGAUGGACUCGCGGCUUAUCAGCUUGUUGGUGGGGUAGUGGCUUACCAAGGCUUUGACGGGUAGCCGGCCUGAGAGGGUGACCGGCCACAUUGGGACUGGGAUACGGCCCAGACUCCUACGGGAGGCAGCAGUGGGGAAUAUUGCACAAUGGGCGGAAGCCUGAUGCAGCAACGCCGCGUGCGGGAUGACGGCCUUCGGGUUGUAAACCGCUUUCGCCUGUGGCGAAGCGUGAGUGACGGUAAUGGGUAAAGAAGCACCGGCUAACUACGUG